CAUUCUUCAACCUAACAAAAAAAACCACAGCAACAAAAAAGAAAACCAUACAAACAAAUCCUAAAAGACUCUCUUUACAACGUAAAGAGCAAAAACCCCAACAGCAAAACGUGUAGUAAUAAGGCAAAAACACGGUAGGGAAGGAAGGUUGUUAAUAUAUACAUAUAAAAGUUAUAACGGAAGAAAGGUCGAACGAUUCAAAAAAACCCAACGAUGGCUAUGAUGUUACGGUCGCUCGCUAGGCCGCUUGAACGUUGCCUUGGGUUAAGGGCCGGUGGGGAUGGUCUCAUGUGGCACACUGAUCUUAAACCUCAUGCUUCGGGCGAGUACUCAAUCGCCGUCGUUCAAGCCAAUAAAAACCUUGAAGAUCAAGGCCAAGUCUUUACAUCUCCUUUAGGUACCUAUGUUGGUGUUUAUGAUGGUCAUGGCGGACCCGAAGCUUCCAGAUUUGUAAACAAGCAUCUUUUCCCAUUUCUCCACAGUAAUUGUUCUUUGACCCUUUUAAUCUUUUUCUUAAUUAUUUUUCUGGGUUUUUUUUUAGAUUAUCUGAAAUGGGGUUUUCUUUGCGUCUAAUUUUUCAAGAUUCAAAUAUUCUUUUGUGUUUUAAUGGUCAAAGAGAAUUUUGGGUUUUUGUCAGUUAAUGAUAUUUUGAACAACUUACAAAGUGUCUAUCAUGCACGUUUAUUUAGUUAUUAUUUGUGUAUCUGAAUGAAUAUGAAUUACUUUGUCUAAAUAUAAAUCUUUAUGCGUUUGAAAUUGGAAUUUGGUUCUCAAGAUUCUAAAACCAUUCAGUUUAAUUUCAAUUUUUGGCACCUUUCACCUCCUUGCUUUAUUGGGUUUUGUCAGUGAAUGGUUGUGUUCUUGUUUUAAUUUUUCUGUCUUAAUUGUAGAAUUUGCUACAGAGCAAGGGGGAUUAUCUGCAGACGUGAUAAAGAAGGCGUUCAAUGCUACUGAAGAAGAGUUUUUACAUUUGGUGAAGCAAUCAUUGCCCGUAAGGCCUCAAAUUGCUUCAGUUGGAUCAUGUUGCCUUGUUGGUGCGAUAUCCAACGAUGUGUUGUAUGUGGCGAAUCUCGGCGACUCGAGAGCAGUUCUUGGCAAAAGAGUUUCGGAGGAUAAGAAAAACAAGGUUGUGGCAGAGAGGCUAUCAACAGAUCACAAUGUUGGAGUUGAGGAAGUGAGGAAAGAGGUUGAGGCUCUUCAUCCUGAUGAUUCGCAUGUCGUGGUUUACACUCGCGGAGUUUGGAGGAUUAAGGGCAUAAUCCAGGUACUUAACAAAAUCUAUUGGCAAACCCAAUUAUAAGAGUUUUAAGUUGAAUCAGACAGGUUGAAGAACAGUUCAUGUUUUGGUUCAAUGAAUUCGAUGGAUAUACAUGUUUCUUUCCAUCAAUUGCUUGUAUGUUUGUAGAAAAGGUAUAUUUACAAAACAAAUAAACAUUGUGCAUCCUCUGAAUCAUAAUGCUAAGCUUAUGUGACUAUAUGGAGUCUUCUCUCUUUUCUUUUUCGGGUUUUUUGGGUUCCUUUUGUUGAUUUCUUUCCCCUUUAACUUCAGCAGUUAAAUGGUUCUCUGUAAUGGAUAAUGUUGGUCUAAGCAUUGAACUUGUUUCUUUAUUCAGGUGUCAAGAUCUAUCGGUGAUGUUUACUUGAAGAAACCCGAUUUUUAUAGAGAUCCAAUCUUUCAACGAUUCGGAAACCCUGUUCCCCUUAAAAGACCAGUUAUCACGGCAGAACCCUCCAUCCUUAUUAGAAAGCUUAAGCCCCAAGACUUAUUUCUGAUAUUUGCAUCAGAUGGCCUAUGGGAACAGUUGAGCGAUGAAACCGCGGUAGACAUUGUUUUCAGAAACCCCCGAGCUGUGAGUAUUUACCUUUGUCUUAUUGGUUAAUUUAGUCUUCAUUAGCAGCUGGACCGAAUGACAGAGUAUUGAUUUUAAGUUUGCUUGUAUUACUUGCAGGGUAUUGCUAAGAGACUGGUAAGUGCCGCACUUAGAGAAGUUGCAAAGAAAAGAGAGAUGAGAUACGGCGAUAUUAAGAAAAUCGAGAAGGGAAUAAGACGGCAUUUCCAUGACGAUAUAACCGUGAUCGUCAUUUACCUAGAUCAACACCGAGGCUCUUCACAUAACAUAGUUAAACAUAAUGCCAUGGGGUGCACGACGGCGCCAGUCGACAUCUAUUCAUACAAUGCAGAUGAAGGAUAUGAAGGAGAUUUACUUCAAACAGUUUCUUGAAUACACAACAGAAUGAGUUAAUAUUAGGUUUAGCACACUGACUUUUUAUUCUUUUUCAAGUCUUAUUCAUGUAUAGAGAAACCAAAUGAUGGGGUGGGAUUGGUUCUUAAACCAAUGUUUCAUUGGGAGAAAAAUCGAGAGUUUGGAAGGUAAUUUUAGUCACCUCAGACGGAUUCCGACACAGGCGGCUAUAGGUGUUCCGGUUGAAGUUCUAACGGUUACCGAAAAGGCUACAUUGUUUUAUUGGUUUAUUAAAUUCAUUGCUUAUAUUAUAUUUAAUUCGAAGUGAGUAACUAAAGACAAUUAAUUACGUUAUUAAUUUUUCUUGUCAAUUAUACAUAAUUUUGAUUGGUGUAAUAACAAAUUUAACCCUUAAUAUUUAUAUAUUUUGUGCAAAUGUUGACAGAAUAUGUAAAUGUUGUAGGUUAAUUUCGUUAAAUCGUGAUUAAAUUGACAGAACAUGUAAGUGUUAUGGGUUAAAUUUGUUAAAUCAAUGUUAAAUUGACAAGAAGUAUAAACUUUAAGGGCGAAUUUUGUUACUAUACCGAUAGAAAAAGUAUAAUUGAUGAAAAAAUAUUGAUGUUAUGAUUAAUGGUCAUUAGUUGCUCACUUUUAAAAUCGACAAGAUUAAAUUGUUAUAGUUUUUUUGAGAGGGACCAAUUUGUUCAAAAUGAAAAUUGAGAAGAAUCAAAAUGUCAUUGUACCUGGUUCUUAUACAUACCAUAUCUAAGUUGUGAAUUUAGUUUUUGUACAUUAAUUUACUCAAUUUCAGUCUCUUUACUUUUUAAAUUUAAAAUUUUAGUUAUGAUUUAGAUUGUAAAUUAAAUUCGUUUCAUUCUAUUAUGUUAUUAGUCUUAUACUAUUAUUACAGUUGUGAAUUUAAUUCAUGUUUUUUAAUUUUAUCAUUUUUAGUCGUUAUACUUUUCAAAUUUUAAUGCAAACGAAAAUAGUUAAAUCCAUUAAACGUAGGUUUUCUAUGUGUGCAAUAUAUGAAAAUAGCAAAUUGCAACUAUUAUUUGAUCGAGACUAAAAUUGAAUAAUACAAAAAAUACAAAAAUUAAAAUUAAAUAAAUUAAAAGAUAGAUAUUAAACUCACAAUUUAUUCAUAUACAUAAACUAAUAACAUAAUUCUUAAUACUCUUAAAUUAAAAACAACACUUAAUAAACUACGAGAGUUAGGUGAGAUGACAAAUAUCUCUCCUAUAUUAACCAGUGGUUGAAAGUUUGAUCCUCGCAUUGGGUAUAGAAUAACUUUAAAAACUCGUAGUCGGCAUCUAUUAUUUUAAUAGACCUAAAAAUGCGGAGAAUUAAUUACUGAACUCGCUCUAAGCAUGACAUAACACGACAAAGUUGGCUUGUAAUUUGUAUAUCUAAACCAAAAGGGAAAAAAUGUUUUGCGAGACAAAUUCCUUAAACUGAAAGACAUGGGAAUUUUGGCAACUAGAUAGCAAUAACCAAACUUGUUAGGUGAAACGAACCAAACUAAAGCACAAAACGACAAUCAGUUGCGCUAAAGUUAGGAUGUCUUGUCACUUUUAAAUUUUUAUUAUACAACUUGCUUCACUAAACAAAUACUAUUUAAUGAACUUUUUAAUAUUCUUACUCUACUUUUCAAUAAUUCAUAAAGCUAAUAAAUAUAUUAUAUUCUUUCAAAUUACUUUUCUUUAAAUUAUUUUUUCUUUAUUUUAAUUGAAAAUUUUUAUUGUAUUAAUUGCAUAAAAAUACUCAAAAUUUUAAUUUAUUCUUUAAUUUCGAAAUAUGUUUAAACGUUAAAACGUUAAUUUUGAUAUGAUGUAAAGUACAUUUAAAAUGCCCGAAUUAAAUUGUAAAUUUAUGUAUACUUACAUCAUUAAUAACUUGGAUCUUACGUAUUAAAAAAAUAGUGUUAAUAAAUUUUAGGAGGGUUAACACUUUUAACUGUUAGAACGAUUUUUUUAAGUAGAAAUCAUGUUGGUACUCUAACUAGAAUGGUUAUACUUUAGUUACUUGGGUUAACUGUUAAUAUUAUAAAAAGUAGAAGAUUAAAUUACAUUAAAUAAAAUUAUGGAGAUUAAAUUUUAAAUUUGAGCACAAUAAAGGGACCAAAACUAUAAUUUAACUCUUUUUAAAUUCAAUAUUUUGUUGAAGGAUUAAAUUGGGGUUGAACUUGAAACCUACUUCUAUAUUGGGGCUUGAACUUUUUUUUUGUCUAAGUUGCUCCCUAAACUUAGCAAUUUUUCUCAUAUUGAAGUUUGAACUAGGCCAUUGUUCUAAGGGGCGAAGCCAAAAUUUUUUUUUUUGGGAGUUGGAAUUAAAUUGUAUAUUUUUAUGGUAGUAAGAAUGUAAUUUUACCAUUUUAAUAGCCUAUGUCAUUAUAAUUUUAAAGGAUUAAAUCAAUUUUGUAUUAUUUAAGAGGUUAAAGUUCAAAUUUAUCAUUACUAAUUUAAAAUUUUAUAAAUUAUAAAAAGUUUAAAUAGAAAAUUUUUCAUUUUAGGGGGAACUGGGGGCCUUGCCAACCUCUCUGGCUUUGCCAUUGAUUGUUUCCAUAUUGGAGCUAAACUUGACAAUUGUUCCUACAUUGAUGCCUAAGUUUUAGGGUUUUCAAAGAAACAUCAUGGAUUAAUUUGGAUCAAAAAAGGUUCAAGCCCCAAUAUAAAAACAAUUACCACAAAAAAAUUCAGGUCUCAAUAUGAAAAUAAUUACCAAUUUCAGGCCCAAAAAGGUGAUUUAACCCUUUGCCCAACCCCAUUCAAGUUACCAAACGAGAGGAAAAUAACAAAUUCCUAGAAAAUCUACAAUUUUGUGCGCUAAAAAAGAAAAUACAAAUAGUCGUUUCAGUAUAAUUUUCUCGGAAAAUAACCAAAACCCAGUCCUUUAAGCUUCAACAUCCAAAGAAAAAAGAAUGACUGCAAGUCAUUUGGUUGCUGAAUCCGUGUGGAAAACAAUAGAGUCAACUCAUUCAGGUCUUUCUUUUUUUCCCCCCUUAUUUAUUCUUUCUAUGUAGAAACUAAAUUCCAUCUUCUUCUUUUUUCCUUUUUUAAAUCCCUAAAUUUUGUGAUCUUAUGACCCAAAUUGGCCAGUAAAUGAAGAGCAACUAUCAAUGUAAGCAAUACUCAUUUUCUUUUAAAUCUUUUAUUCUUGGGCUUUUUAAAAUAAAAAUAAAAAUAAAAAUGGUGGGUAUUGAUUAAUUUUGAAUUUUCUUUUAUUGUAGCUUGCAUUUUCUGUUUGGUAAAAACUUCGAGAGAGCAACAAGGAUAGUUGACCAAAGGGGUGUCAAGAAAAUCUCCGGUGAACCCAGCGGUCGUUUUAUCUUUCAGGUUCAUUCUCUUUGUUGCUAUCUCAAUUUUUGAAUAUUGGUCGAAUUCUCCUAUUAGUCCAUGCACUCUGCAUAAAUUGCAGAUUUAAUCCAUGUUCCUCGAUUUAAUGUUUUUAAUGAUUUGUUUUUCAAAUUGUAAUUUUAGUAUCAUGUUAUAUCUAUUUAAUUUAAUUAUUUUAUUUCAGUUAAUAAAUUUCACUGCUAUUGGAUAUAAGAAUAAAAAUGAUAAAAUUUUAGAACAAAUAUUAAAUCUAUAAGGUUAGGACAGAAAAAUCCAAAUAUUAUAAAAUUAAAAUUGACCAAAUUAAAAUAUGUAGACUAAAUCUGUAAUUUAGACUUAGUAUAUAUACUAAGGGAAGAAUUUGUCAUAGAAUAUUUGGACGAGUUGUCGGCUACCUUAUGUGUAAAAUAUGGUCAUUUUGGCAAAUAUUCCAUUUUAAGAACUUUCCUGGAAACUUUUCUGAAACUGUGAGCCUUGAGAUAAAACCCGAAGCAGAAUUGAGACACAUCAGUAUAUAUCCAUUUGUAUAUCUCAAUAUAUAUAUAUAACAUACGCCUGUCUAGUUAGAAUAUUUGGACAAGUUGUCGGCCACCUUAUCUGUAAAAUGUGAUCAUUUUGGCAAAUAUUCCAUAUUUAAGAACUUUCCUGGAAAAUUUCUGAAACUAUGACCCAUCAAGGCUCUUGGCAGAAUCGUGAGAUAAAACCUGAAGCAGAAUUGAGACACAUCAAUAUAUAUAUCCAUUUGUAUAUCUCAAUAUAUAUAUACAGACGCAUGUGUAGUUAGAAUAUUUGGACAAGUUGUCCUCUACCUUUUCUGUAAAAUGUGAUCAUUUUAGCAAAUAUUCCAUCUUAAGAACUUUCCUGGAAAUUUUUCUUAACUAUGACCCAUCAAGGCUCUUAGCAGAAUGGUGAGAUAAAACCCGAAGCAGAAUUGCGACACUUCAAUAUGUAUCCAAUUGUAUAUCUCAAUAUAUAUAUAUACAUAGGCAUGUCUAGUUAGACUAUUUGGACAAGUUGUCAUCUACCUUAUCUGUAAAAUGUGAUUAUUUUAGCAAAUAUUCCAUCUUAAGAACUUUCCUGGAAAAUUUUCUGAAACUAUGACCCAUCAAGACUCUUAGCAGAGUCGUGAGAUAGAACCCGAAGCAGAGUUGAGACACAUCAAUAUAUAUAUCCAUUUGUUAUAUAUAUACAUACGCAUGUCUAGUUAGAAUAUUUGGUCAAGUUGUCAUCUACCUUAUCUGUAAAAUGUGAUCAUUUUAGCAAAUAUUCCAUCUUAAGAACUUUGCUGGAAAAUUUUCUGAAACUAUGACCCAUCAAGGCUCUUAGCAGAGUCGUGAGAUAAAACCCAAAGCAGAAUUGAGCCACAUCAAUAUAUAUAUAUCCAUUUGUAUAUCUCAAUAUAUAUAUACAUACGCGUGUCUAGUUAGAAUUUUGGACAAGUUGUCAUCAACCUUAUCUGUAAAAUGUGAUCAUUUUAGCAAAUAUUCCAUCUUAAGAACUUUCCUGGAAAUUUUUCUGAAACUUUUUUUUCCCAUUGUUUGGUGCUUUAGGUUGUGGGAGAAUCUAGAAGAAAAGAAGAAUAUUUCUGUUUUGCUGAACAUUAUUGUGCUUGUUAUUCAUUCUUUUAUGAUGUAAUUAACAGAGCAGAACAGCUUUGUGUAAGAUUUCUUUAUUCCUUUAUUCCCCUUAUUUUAUUGCAUUUAAUAUAUAGGUAAAAUUUUUGAAAUUGAGCAAAUUGGUCCCUCUAAAAAAUUAUAGCAAUUUAUCUUUGUCAAUUCCAAAAGUGAGCAACUAAAAAUAAUUAAUCAAGACGUUGAUAUCAUUUGUCAAUUGUACAUAGUUUUGAUUGGUAUAAUAACAAAUUUAGCCUUGUUAUUUACAUGUUUAUACAAAUAUUGAGUUGCAUUUAUUAAAUCAGGACAAAAUUGAAAGAAUAUGUAACUUUGAGAGCUAAAUUAUUUAUUAUACCAAUCAAAUUUAUGUACAAUUGAUGAUCAAAAUAUUAAUGUUGUGAUUAAUUAUUCUUAGUUGCUCACUUUUGAAUUAAAACGGAUUAAAUUACUUCAAAUUUUUUAGAGGAUUCAAUAUGCUCAAUUUACUUAAAUUUUUUUAGAGGAUUCAAUAUGUUCAAUUUUAAAAUUAAAAGGGAUUAAAUUACUUUAAUUUUUUUAGAAGAUUCAAUAUGCUCAAUUUCAAAAUUGAGAGGGACUCACCUAUAUAUAUUUGCUGUAUUUUCAUAUUUUGUUUUGCUUUUGUGUAGUGUAAGCAUCAAUUAGCUGCAAGGCUUGCUGGAUCAUUGGGAGCUUGUAUUGAAGUUAAAGUGUCUGAUGAACAGCUAGCUGUAUUACUUUCUGAGCUCUAAAUUUUUGUAGUAAAAUCGUAGCGGGUCGGAUCCGAAAUUUAAUCUAGUUGGUUCAUGCAGUUACAUUUAAAGAAAUGACAUUCAAUAAAUAUGAUUCAAUUUUUGAUAAAUAAAAAUAUUGUUUGUAUGUUUAACAACAAAAAGAAUGAACAAAUUAUAAUCAUCAAAUCAAGGAACAAUAUUGUGAGUUUUCAUCUUUUUAAUCCAUGAAUUGAACGACGUUUUCGAGUUUCGGAACCCGACAAAUCCAUGUUCUUUGCUCUUGUUCAUGCUAUCCAACAGUGACUUCCCCGAAAGCACCGAAUCAACGAACUGCCAUGCUCCGGCAUUGCUCAAUUUCAUCGGCAAAAGACCGUUCUCCCUCACGAUGUUGUCCCACACCGGACCUUUGUCUUUCAUCAUUUCAACCAAGCUUGGCACCUUCUCUUCGGUUUCUUGAAAUCCGUAGUGUUCGAUACCGAACUGGUCAGCUAACACUUUCCAUAAGUCCUUCCACUUAAACACAUCUCCAUUGCUACAAUUAAAGGCUUCGUUUUUCGCUCGCCGGCUCAUUGCUGCCCAUAUUUGAUGUUCUGCAAUCAAAUCCGCAUCCGAUGCAUCCCAGUACCCUUCCCACGCUUGUCGGUUCCCCGGAAACCUCAACGGCUCGCUUUCAUGCUUACAUAUCGACGCGUAAAUGCAUAAACUCCGAACUAUAUUCAUCGAACUAAACGGAGAAAACCCAAAAACCAAUCCCGGCCUAUGAACAGACCAUGUCAAGUUCUCCUUCUGCUUCACUUCUUCCAACAAAACAUCCUCGAGCGUAUAACACAAGUUUGACGACUUAAGCCUCGGAAGAUCCUCGCGAAAAGGAGGAUCAUGGGGCUGAACAUGAUAUUUUCCGUACAAAUCAAUCGGACCGGUGUAAUGCCGACGACCGGUUUGCAAGCAUAUAUGUUUCAACUUGGGUGAAUUCGGGAUUACCGCUUUCAACACGUUCCGUAACAUAGUACCAUUGAUAACGCAGUUUUCAUCUUCAGUUGAUCUCUUAUCCCAUGCAACAUAAAACACAUGAGUCACAUCGUUAAGCUUUGAUAAUUUAUCACAUGUUUCUUCUUCAUCUAAAACAUCGCAUUGUAUGUACUCAAUAGGCAAAUGACUAGUCGAGGCUGGUCGAGGCUGACGAGCAACACCGUAGACCUUCCACGGUCCGCCGGGAAUACCGGAGAACGGAAGAAUCUCGGCGAGACUGUUACCGACUAUGCCGGUGAUGCCAAUGACCAAAGCAACACUCUUGUACUUGGAUUGUUUAUCAUGUUCUUCCAUUUUCUUCUGUAAAAAAAAAAAAAAUCUGGGUUCAUUAGAUUAAAUGCAGAGAAAGAGAACCCAAAAAAAUGAAUGAGCAUUAACGUACCUUGGCAGCACCAAUGGCUCCUGCCCACCACCAACUCAUUGUAUGUUUUUCUUUUGCUGUUAAUGAAAAAAAAUGCUGAAUUACAUCCUUAAACUUUGUCUGCAAUGUUUUUAUAGUGAUCCGCUUUGAUAAAAGUGACGUCUGGGAAUUUAAAAAAGGAAAAAAAAACCAAUCUUAUCUAUUUACAUGUAUCAACUACAGCUCAACAAGAACUUGUUAUCAAUUUGAUUUCUUUAUAAUAAUAAUAAUAAUAAUAAUUUUAGUUGGGAUAAAUUACAAGAAUAGUCACUCUUGUUUGUCUUAGAUUAUAUUUUAGUCAAUUAUGUUAUCGUUUUGUUACGAAGUGGUCACUCUACCGCUAAACUCCGUUACCUCCCUAGCGGUAGUUCUACGUGACAGUUAAAAUUAAAUUUAUUUAAUUAAAAACAUAUUUUCAUCCCAGUAGCUGGACAUCCAAGUUGGCAUUUAAAACAUGUUUGGAUUGCUACGUAGGACAAUCGUUAGGGAGGUAACGGAGCUUAACGGUAGAGCGACCAUUUCAUAACAAAAUGAUAACAUAUGUGACUAAAAUAUAACAUUUUAAACAUAAAUGAUUAAAAUGUAAUAUGAUUCAAACAAAAGUAACUAUUUUUAUAGUUUACCAUUUUAUUUUUAAUUUGUUUGAAUAAACAUGGAUACAACACAUAUAUUUUAUAUAAAAUAAUUUAAGUGGCGGAAUUUUUUAAAAGAAAAUCAGAAAGGACGUGGAAAAUGGGUUAAUUGGUGAAUAUGUGUAAAUCCUUCAAUAAUUGAAUUGGUCAGCCAACACUUAAAGACUAAGGAUUAGACAGCUAGUAAACACAUCAGCAUAUAAUCAAGCUUGCGUGGAGAACCUAGCGUGUAAGGAAACAAUACAUCCUUAUCUAUUCACUAAAUCUUCUAAUGCUAUGAAAAAAAAGGAUAGAAUUUUGUGAAUUUUAUAAUUGGAAAGUUUAAGGAUAGGAAAUUAAUAUGAAAUUUGGCUUUUUUGUUUUUUUAAUUUGUAUUCCAAGUUAGUUUUUUACUAUUUAAGUCAAACAUUUCUAUUGGGUAUUGUUAAAUUAACAUGAGUAUUAUUGUUAAUAUAGAGGAAUGUGUGUUUGAGUGCGUUGAAGUGUUAGGUCUGUUCUUGACGUUUUUGGGCCUUAACAAAACAAUAAAAUGGGUUUCAAGUUCCUUAAAAGUUGAAGAAAAAAAAUUUGGUCCCUAAAAGUUGGUAAAAAAAAUUUGGCCUUUAAAAGUUAAAAAUAAGAAUUUUGGGCCCCUUAACAAUUGGAGAAUAAUAUUUUAGACCCCUUUCAGCCUUGGGCUCUGGGAAGCCGCACCUCUAGACGACCUCUAGAGCCAGGCCUGUGAAGCGCAUUAUCCUCUUAUUUAUGGGUUGGAGUAUAAUCAGAACCUAUAAUGAGAUUGUUAAAAAAAAUUUUAAAACAAAAAAGUUUUAAGAUGGAUUGUGAAUUUAAGGUUUUUUUUUAAUGGUUACAAGUUGCUUGGAAACAAAAUAUUAGUAAAUCAGAAUAGAAAAAUAAAUAAAUAAAUAAAUUGAAAACAAUUAGUCUCUCGAUAUGAUAAAUUAAUUUUGUUUAACAUUCGUUGUAACGACGGUUAGAAAGAAAACAAGCAGCGAAAAAAAUAAAAGAAGAAAAGAAUUGACACAACCGAUCUUUGUUAAUACAGUUUAGACACAGUGGUCCUAUAUUUGCGGAGCCUCUCCCAGUGAAUGAUUUUAUUCAACAAUCGUUCGGAUCACCUAUUGGCUUAAGCCCGAUUACCUUUACACAAAGAAAUAAUUCAAGCUUCAAUAUUGACCCCAAUUGUCACAAAUCACUCACCCAAAUACCUCACAAUAUGAUAGACUUUAAACUCCUAUUUAAAAGUUGAAAUUAUCCCAUUAAUUAUCUUUAGUACCCCAGGGUGAAUCAAACUCAGUAUAAACGAAACCUAUUUAAGGCCCAAGUCAAUAACUUAAGUAGAGAAACAGUUUCGUUAUAAUUGGACAUAAAACAAACAGCAAUUUUCCCAACAAAAACAUAAUGGGGAGAGCGAGACUUAUUCCUAAGUUGGCAAAUGCAAUUGCUCAGCUGUUUGUUUCAUGCAAAACUUAGUUGGCAAUUAACAAAUUCAAAUAGGCUCAACAUCUUUAACCUAUGGAUAGAAUUUCUAAUGCCAAUUUGAAUUCCUUCCUUCCAAGAAAUCCUUCAACAUUUUUAUCUCUUUGUGCAAGCAUUAUUGUAACAAGUCCAUCUUCUUAACUUUCACUAGAGAAUCUGUGGUGAUAUGGAGUUUACAGUAAACCCUAUUCGAAUGGGGAGUAACAAUCCUCUUUUGUCCGAUGAUUCUUUUGUUUUGGGUAAGAAUUCCAAAAUUCAUUUUACAAAGAGUAAACGAAAGUUGUGUUAUUGUUUAUGGGAAUACAUGAAAGUAAUCUAGAGUCGAGCAUUUUAUACCAUUUGUCUUAUAGAAUUUUGGGUUAACUUCGUUUGGUCGGUAAAUUUGACGAUAUAUGUCAUGUUAAUCUUUCUAAAAAAGUAAAUGGUGAAUUACAUUAAUGGUUAUCUAAUUAUGAUUUUUUUUUAUCACCCAACCAUAAAAAAUUACAAAAUAGUUAGUCAAUUAUUAGUAUUUUUUUUAUCAUCCAAUUAUAAAAAAGUGACAAAAUAAUCUUCAUUUUCAUGUUAACCGACUAAUAACUAAAAAAUUAAUUGAAUAAUUAGAUGAUCAUUUUGUAAAAUUUUCAUAGUUAGGUGAUAAAUGAAACUAUAAUCUGAGUGUCCUCUAUUAUAGUUUUGAGUAUAUAAAUAAUAAAAUUGCACAUCCUAUUUGAUAUUUUUGAGCAAAAGAAAAGAAAAGAAUAAUGAACUUGGAUACAUGGUAUUAGAGCGACUUAUGAUUGCAAUUGCACAUCCUAUAUGAUAUUUUUUUAGCAAAAAAAAAAAAGAGAAAAGAAUAAUAACCUUAAAUACAUGGUAUUAGAGCGACCUAUGAUUGCAAUUCCACAUUGACUUCCCAUAGGAUGGAUCAAUAGGUACUCCAAGUCAAACUCCUAAAGUGUGCAGUAGGAGAAAAUAACAACAAAACCCAUGACAAACGCAACACGAGUUUAGAUGGAGAAGAAUAUUAAGCGAAACACUAAAAAAAUUAGAUAACAUUAUUAAUCCCAUAUCAAAAAACAAAUAAGAAAACAAGUAGACUUGUACGCUCUAGGAAAGCAUAUGACUAAUAUCACUAGGGGGGUUUAGCUAGGUACAGCUGAUGGUCCCAAGUUGAAAGGGACUCUUGAGUAUCGCUGAUGUUUUGACCUUAGUCCUAUAUAAUAGGGGCAAAACACUAUCUAUCCGGCGCGUCCACACCCAAUGAGAUAGAUUUUUGGUCACCUAGACUGAAUGGUCUAUGGACGCCUCUAAUCCAGCUGACUUAUCCUAUUUUAUACACAAAAAUGUUGAAAUCUCUAAAUAAUGAAGAGUAAACUAAAAUCAAAUAGCUUCCAUUAACAAGACAUGGGGUUAGAGCUUAGGGUUUAGAAUUAAUAAAGAAUCAUGAUUGCAAGCCAAACCUGGAUCAUUCAUAUACAUUAGAUGACAAUGAUAUCUCUAUAAGUUUUAGCAUUAAAACUAGGUUUGAGGAAACAUCAAAACAGAAAAUCCAAUUUGCAGACAUAAAAUACUUCAUUAAUUACAUUAACAAAAAGCUUAUCAAACAUUCCUUUGGAAAACAAUUUUGCAAAGACACUGUUAACUGCACAUAAUGAUUUAUAUUUGACUUGUAUAAAAGCAAUUGUACAUACCUUUUCAAGAUUUUCAAUUCCCCUCUUUCUUGUUUCAUCUGCUAUAUAAUACAAAAUUCCCCAUCAGCUACAUGCAUAGCUAAAUAGAGCUUUAGGCAUUCAAAAAGCUAAAGAACACAUGUUGGCCUCGAGGAAACACACAGAACCGUGCACAACGUCACAUUUCCACUUUCUCAGCAUGCUCGAAUUGAUGAACACAACGAACAGUGCUAACACAAUACUAAAAAGGUUUUCUUUAUGGAAGACAACUUUCUAUGACCAUUUUUCCACGACACGCUCUGAUAAUCUAAUUUCCUCAUCCUUGGAAAUAUGUGGAUCUAGCUUCUGAAGGUUGUCAAUAAAUGUCUUUGCCUCAUCACGCUGAUUGAGUUUACAAUAUCCAUCAACUAUGGAAUUGUAUGUAUUCUGGUUUGGUUUACAGCCGUGCUUGAUCAUGAAUUGGACAACAUCUAUGGCUUCCUCAAACAAGGAAUCAGCUGCAUAGCUUGCAACAAAGGUAUUGUAAGUGAUAACAUCUGGAACAAGGCCAGAAUCACCCAUUUCUGAAAAUAUCCGAGAAGCCUCUUUCAUUCGACCGUUUCUACAAUAGGCAUAAAUAACAGUGUUAUACGAGAUUAUAUCUGGUUUUAUUCCUUUUGCCUGAACUUCCCUUAAAAUUUGUUCUGAUUCCUCGAACUUUUCAGAGCGGCUAUACAUAUACAUCAAACUGUUGUAGGUCGUCAAGCUCGGAGUAUACCCACACUCAUUCAUGAAGUUCAAGAUCUCAUUUGUCUUGGAAACCAUCUGCCUCCUGCCAUAUAUUGAGAGCAUGGCAUUUAGAGUAGUUAUGUCAGGUGGAAAUCCUUUCUUCCUCAAUUCCAAGAAAGCACGCUCUGUAUCCGCAAGAAGGUCGCAUUUACUAUUAACCAAAACAAGAGUCUUUAACAGCACAGCAUGAGGUUCGAUGAUACCGGAGUAUAUCUCUUCCGCUAGGGCAUGCAUCCGAUCUACCUGCUUCCCAUUGGCAUAAACAUGAAGCAAAGAACAGUAGGUUAGCUCAUUGGGUUUGCAACGACCGUCUCUCAUUUCAGCCAGUAUUUUCUCAGACUGCUUCCAAAGCCCUCCCCGUGCCAAUGCCGCCAAAACAGCAUUAUAUGUAGAAAGGUCGGGGGUAACUCCAGCUUCCAGCAUUCUCUUAUAAAUAGCCAUGGCUUGAUCAAAAGCACCACAGCGACUGUAUGCACUAAUUAAAGUGUUGAAUGUGUCCCUUUCAGGUACAAACCCUGCCCUCUUCAUCUCCUUGAACACUCCAGACACUUCUACAUCCAUUCCAUUUUGCCCAAAUACUGCCAGUAGUGUAUUCCAAGUAACAAUAUCCGGUGCACCAUUGCAUGCCUUGAUCUCGUCAAAAAUCUUCAUCAUCUCAGUGAACUUCCCGCGGUUACCGUGCAUCUUAAUUAGAGCAUUGAAAGUGCAAAUAUUCGGCUUGCAACCAGAAGUUCUCAUCUCCUCAAAAACCGCCAUUGCAGACUCAUCUUUUCCGGCCUUGGCAAAUCCCGACAAAAGAGUGGUAUAGGUAAAAACAUCAGGCUUAAUCCCUUUUCCCUCCAUCUGUGUUUUCAAGUCCAUUGCUUCCUGCAACAGACCAUCCCUAGCAUAAGCGGAAAUCAACGAAUUAUAAGUCACAGUGCUAGGGGCAAACCCAUUAAGCUCCAUCUCUUUUAAAACCUCCAUAGCUUCCUUCGGACGCCGAGACUUACCAUAAACAUCCAACAAUGCAUUGUAAGUAACAUUAUCUGGAGUAAAACCAGCCAAUUUCAUUUCAUCGAAAACCGAAGCCGCUUCCUCAUGCAAAGACCCUCGACGACAGCUACUUAUAAGCGUAUUAUAAGUAUAAGCAUCAGGGGCAAUUCCAUCACUUUUCAUUCCAUCAAAAAGAGCCAUGACCUUACUCCAAGGCAUGCCCAUUUUACCAUACACAUUCAAAACCACAUUAUAAGUUAUCAAAGUAGGUUUACAACCCUCUUCCUCCAUUUUCUUAAAAACCACCAUGGCUUCCCUAUACCUCCCACUACCAGCAUAAGCAGUUAUCAAUGAAGUAUAAGCAUAAACAUCAAGACUAAACCCUUCUUUGUGCAAACCAUUAAACAAAUUAGCUGCAACAGAAACCCUCCCCUCUUUCCCUAACAUACUAAUAAUAAUAGCAACAACAGAGCUAUUCAACACCAAUCCACAAUCAUUUCUAGCUCUAACCCAAUUGAAAACACCCAAAGCCAAGUUAGAUUUCUUGUAAAAACCCAAAGCUUUAACAAUUCCCACCACUUCCGCAGCCAAAAAAUCAGCUUUCACAUCUGGGUUUUCUUGGUAUUGCUCAAACAACUUACUCAAAACAACAUCAAGUUGAUUAGAAUCAAAAGAAGGUUCAAUUAAGGAAUUAAGAACCUGCUGACCUUGAGCAGAGAGGUUGUUAUGAGUCCAACGCUUCCCACGGUUGACGUCACGUGACCGGCCGAGACGGUUCCGGGUCCGGACUUGUGGGUCGAUGGGUUGUUGGGACUUAGAAUUAUGUCGAAGAAGGAGGUCUUGAAAGACUGGAGUCGAGGGAGCAGGUGAAUUGGGUUGUGAAGUUGGGUUUUGUUGAGUGAAGUGAGUUUGGUUUGAUAAUGGGGUUUUAACAGGUGGGGGAUUUGGAAGGAGAAGAGGGAGAGCAAGCCUCUCUGCCAUUAAAGAGAGGAUAAGAAAGUUGCAGCCUUUGUAUCUAUGGUUGAGUUAGAAACAGAGAGGGAGAAAAAGAAAAGGGUAAUUGAUAAUUUUAGUGCGCUUUCGUUAUUACUUGCAGAGUCCACAACUUUUUUUUUUAGAAGUCUAAGGCUUAAAGGGGGACAUGACAAAGAUAUGCGGAGGAUAUUUUAGGAGGUAAAAGGGAGAUUAUAUUCUUCUGUGGUUAAGAAUGAACUAUUGAAAUACUAUGACCAAUAAAAGGUUGCCACGUAAACUCUGAAAGCGGACUCUUAAGUCAAAAUUGGUGACGUUUGCCCUCUUCAAAAUUAGUUCGAUUAGACAAAUUAUACUUAUUUAAACAUUUUCUCUUUUAUUUUUAUAUAAAAAUUAAUUUAAAGUGAAGCUUAAUAUUAUUAUAUUAAUAAUAUUUUUUAUUUUAAAAAAUAUUUAAAAUUAAUAAAAUAUUUAUAAUUUUCAAUAUUAUUAAUCAUACUUAUUUAAUUAUCUAUUUCUAAUCAUAUUAAUAACUUAUUAUUUUAAUAAUUUAUUUAAUAAUUUAAUUUUAUUUUAAAAAUAAAUUUGAAAAAUAAUAAUUUUAAAUAAUAUUCUUCAUAUAGUAUUGAAAAAUAUUCAAUGUUAAUAUUUUAAUAAUAAAUAUUUAUUACAAUUAUAAAUAUAUUACAGAUAAAUAUUUUGUAGUAUAAAUGUUAAAAUAUGUCAUAAAUAUAUAUACUCCUCACAAAUUUGAAAUUUAGUCCCUAUUCUUUUAUUUUCAAGAAUUUAAUCAUUCUACUGUUCAUAUUUAAAAAUCAAGUCCAAUUGUUAACAUUGUUAAAUUUUUUUUGUCAAUUUUGUUGAUGUCAAUUUUUAAAUAAAAAAUACUUGAUAUUCAUGUAACUAAAAGAUGACGUUACAAUUAACAUGAAUUUAACAAAAUAUUUUUAAUAAUGCUAUCAGAUGAACCUUAAUUUUGAUAUAUAAAAGGUAGGACUAACCCAAAAAUAAAAGCACAUGGACUAAAUUUCAAAUUUACGAAAAGUACAAUGACUUAUGACAUAUUUUAACCUAGUAUAAAAAUAUGAAUAUUUUAAUUAUAUAAAUUUGAAUAUUUGUUUAAGUAAUGUUUAGCUUCAUUUAUCCUUUACAACUCUAAUGUGUCAAUAUCUAUUCUCACAUAUCUAAUAUAUAUAAUUAAAAUUAAGUUUUAAUUAAGCAUUAUUUAUUAUUAAGUUUAUAUAUGACACUGAUUAUUACAAAAUAUUUUCUUAUUAUAAAAUAAAUUUCAAUUGUUAAAAGGAAAUUGCACUGUAAUAUUUUAUAACAAAUAUAUUUAUGUCAUGUUUGUUUUACAAAGAACAAUGUAAAAUAUAAAUUUAUAGAUAUAAAAUAAACUCAAUUAAACAAUGAAAAUAUAAGAAAAUCUCAUAUGUAUGUUUGUUUCAUUGAAAACAACUUUUAUGAAAUAUUUAUAGUAAAUCUGUCAAAUAACAGAAAAUAUUAAUUUUUCAAAAAAGUAAGUCAUUUUCCAGAAAUCAUUUUUCGGAAGUCAUUUUCAGUGAAACAAAUGGAACCUAAACUUGAAAAUCGUAAGUUAACUUGAUAUUUUUUUAGGCACCUAAUACUAUUAAAAUAUACUGACAUAACACUGACGAUCAAUUGGAUGGUGACACGUGAUAACCUCACAUUUUUUAUUAUAAAUAUUAUAUUUUUUUAUUUUGCCACGUGUCAAAAUAUAAGGCUAUCACGUGUCACCAUUCUAUUAGUAGUCAACGUCACAUCAGCGUAUUUUAAUGAUGUUAGUCAAGUAGCUAAAAAAACACAAAGUUGACUUAUAAUUUUUAAGUUUAGGUACCAGUCAGGGCCAAAAUUAAACUAUGUAAUUGAUAUUUAUGUCAUUAUUGUUGUUUAUUUGUGUAACUAAGAAUUGAUGACUUUAUUGUUUCAACCACUAAUUCGGUUUCCAAAAAACAUUGAUUCAAAGGAAACUAACCUAAACCGAACUAUAUAAUUGAUGUUUAUGCCAUUAUUAUAUAUGUGUUUAUAAUAACUAGAAUCGAUAACUUAACCGUUUCAACCACCUCUUCCAACUUCUAAAAAAAACAUUGGUAAAUGGAAGUUAGAUUAUUUUCAAAUCUUCAAGCUUUAUAAGUUAUUGAAUCGAGUGAUAAAAUACUUAUUAAUUCAUAAAAAGUUGAUGAAUCGUUUGAAAAGAAAGAAAAAGAAAAAGAAAAACCAAUGCUAAAAAAUGCUUGUUUCUUAUUUAGAAGUCCAAUUCAACUCAAGUUGUGUUUAGUAUUACUUUUAAGAAGUAUUUUUGAGAAAAAAAUACUUUUGAGAUAAAAACAUUAUUAAAUAAAAUGCUAAAUUGACCCGCAAUCGAUACCUGUGGGNNNNNNNNNNNNNNNNNNNNNNNNNNNNNNNNNNNNNNNNNNNNNNNNNNNNNNNNNNNNNNNNNNNNNNNNNNNNNNNNNNNNNNNNNNNNNNNNNNNNNNNNNNNNNNNNNNNNNNNNNNNNNNNNNNNNNNNNNNNNNNNNNNNNNNNNNNNNNNNNNNNNNNNNNNNNNNNNNNNNNNNNNNNNNNNNNNNNNNNNNNNNNNNNNNNNNNNNNNNNNNNNNNNNNNNNNNNNNNNNNNNNNNNNNNNNNNNNNNNNNNNNNNNNNNNNNNNNNNNNNNNNNNNNNNNNNNNNNNNNNNNNNNNNNNNNNNNNNNNNNNNNNNNNNNNNNNNNNNNNNNNNNNNNNNNNNNNNNNNNNNNNNNNNNNNNNNNNNNNNNNNNNNNNNNNNNNNNNNNNNNNNNNNNNNNNNNNNNNNNNNNNNNNNNNNNNNNNNNNNNNNNNNNNNNNNNNNNNNNNNNNNNNNNNNNNNNNNNNNNNNNNNNNNNNNNNNNNNNNNAAUAUAUCUUAAAUUUUAUUUUAUUGUAAUUUUAUAUGAAUUGAUUAUAAUUUUAAUUGACCGAAUAUAUAUCCUUUAUUAUUUAUAUUAUAUUUGUACUUGUAAUUUUUUUAAAAAUUUAAAUUAAACAUGCCCUUUUUUUAAAAAUGUAAAUAUAAAUAUUUGUUUAUAUUAUAAUGUGUUUAUAAUAAGAGUCAGAUUAUAUAUAUAUAUAUUUGUAAUAGAGUCAGAUUAUAUUUUACAUCUUCUGUUCGAAAAAAUUGGAAAAUUAAUCAACAGAUAAAAAUUAAAUCUAUUCUUAUUAUUAAAAAUUAUUUAAUUUCUGAAAAAAUUCUUAUAGGUAACCUUUUAGAUCUUUUUUAGCUGUGUUUAUUAAAAAAAAUAAAAAAAUAUAAAAGUAGUUUUUUUAGAGUAAAUGUAAAACUUUAAAAUAAUUGUAAUAUGUAAAAUUAAAAAUAUUAAACUAUUUACAACCGUCGGAUUAAAAAUGAUAUAUUUUUGAAUGAUGAUGAAGAUCGAUUCCUGAUGUAUAUAAAUACUGCCUUCUAUUCCCUUCAGUCUUCGCUUCACCCACUUUCUCAUUUCACACGGGUUGUGGCGUAGUUUAAGCAGAGAGGGUGCGCAGGAUAAAGCUAUUCACCAUUGUUUCAACAUGAAGGUUUGUAAUAAAAAUUUGUUUCUAUCAGCAUUGCUUUGCAUUGCUGUUGCAGGAGUUUUGGGUCAAGCUCCUAGUAAUCCUCCUACGUCUACGCCGGCGCCACCCACACCACCGGCUUCUACUCCUCCUCCGACGACUCAAGCACCGCCUACACCAACCGCCACUCCGCCACCGGUUUCUACUCCUCCUCCCACUUCAUCACCGCCCCCAGUGACAGCUUCUCCACCCCCAGUUUCAACUCCUCCACCCAGUUCUCCUCCUCCUGCAACUCCACCACCUGCUUCUCCUCCUCCUGCAACUCCACCUCCAGCUUCUCCACCUCCUGCCACUCCUCCACCAGCUUCUCCACCUCCCGCCACUCCACCACCUGCAACCCCACCGCCAGCAACUCCUCCUCCUGCUACCCCACCACCAGCUCCAUUGGCUUCUCCUCCAGCCACAGUCCCAGCUAUCUCUCCAGUACAAACACCAUUGACAUCGCCACCAGCUCCGCCGACCGAGGCCCCAGCACCUACCCUCGGGG
Molecule: long non-coding RNA, 19846 nt
Filed under: Gossypium barbadense (sea-island cotton)
Lineage: Eukaryota; Viridiplantae; Streptophyta; Magnoliopsida; Malvales; Malvaceae
Description: long non-coding RNA (GBAR_LNC014573)
Source: RNAcentral